This 695-nucleotide long non-coding RNA is filed under the name Dermacentor andersoni. RNAcentral's name for it is "uncharacterized LOC126545497". The record is from RNAcentral. Lineage: Eukaryota; Metazoa; Arthropoda; Arachnida; Ixodida; Ixodidae.
GGUAGUUUAUUUGUUUUUAGUUUUGUUUACUAUUUUCCUCUUAUAAUCUCGUUGAUCCCAUAGUGAGUUCCUGUCUAUUUCUUCUCCCGGCCAGCGGUCCUUUCUCUGGGCGGCUUCCCUUCCCACCAGUGAUAUCUCUAUGGAAGCUUUCUUGCGCAGUAGCAUUCACAACGUUCCAGUUGCCCUAGUGCCAACCAAUGGGGGAUUCAUUCGCGUGAAGAAUCCAAAGACAAUUCAGGAAAAGCUGAGGAAAGCAACCCGCACUUCCGGAGCGUAGCCAAUGUCUGACAAUUUGGCAGAGGGGGCAUUCUGUUUUGUUCGGCUGACCAGACCUGUCUCCGACCUUCUAAAUUGUGGAAUGUUCGCGAGUCACCCGCAGCGGUAUAUAUCGGAAGUUUGCAGAACCCUCAGGACCGGUACCAUAAGGGAUGCCGCUGCCUGUGUACCUGCCGACUUGUUUAAGCCUGUGUGACCUGGCGCCCAUACCAAACGGACAAGACGUUCAAUGGCAACGAGGCGGCCUGUUGAAGUCCCCGGGAUGCCGCAGCGCUGACGAUGUCAGAGUCCAGCACGGCCUCUGGUGCGUGGGUGACGUCAUCGAAGAGGUCCUCCGCCGUCAGCAGAGCAUCAUUGGCCGGAAGCUUCUCGUCCUCAUCCACCUGUCUGUCAAUGACAGUGCGGUACGCGUGGCGCAG